GUGGGGAAUUUUGGACAAUGGGCGCAAGCCUGAUCCAGCAAUGCCGCGUGCAGGAAGAAGGCCUUCGGGUUGUAAACUGCUUUUGUACGGAACGAAACGGUCCUGGUUAAUACCCGGGGCUAAUGACGGUACCGUAAGAAUAAGCACCGGCUAACUACGUGCCAGCAGCCGCGGUAAUACGUAGGGUGCAAGCGUUAAUCGGAAUUACUGGGCGUAAAGCGUGCACAGGCGGUGCUGUAAGACAGGCGUGAAAUCCCCGGGCUUAACCUGGGAAUUGCGCUUGUGACUGCAGUGCUGGAGUGCGGCAGAGGGGGAUGGAAUUCCGCGUGUAGCAGUGAAAUGCGUAGAUAUGCGGAGGAACACCGAUGGCGAAGGCAAUCCCCUGGGCCUGCACUGACGCUCAUGCACGAAAGCGUGGGGAGCAAACAGGAUUAGAAACCCCAGUAGUCC
This 450-nucleotide ribosomal RNA is filed under the name uncultured bacterium. RNAcentral's name for it is "partial 16S ribosomal RNA". It matches the Rfam family "Bacterial small subunit ribosomal RNA", at positions 354 to 796 of the family's 1533-position model. The record is from RNAcentral.